RNAcentral lists this ribosomal RNA (467 nucleotides) under uncultured bacterium. RNAcentral's name for it is "partial 16S ribosomal RNA". It matches the Rfam family "Bacterial small subunit ribosomal RNA", at positions 29 to 507 of the family's 1533-position model. The record is from RNAcentral.
ACGAACGCUGGCGGCGUGCUUAACACAUGCAAGUCGAACGGAAAGGCCCUGCUUUUGUGGGGUGCUCGAGUGGCGAACGGGUGAAUAACACGUGAGUAACCUGCCCUUGACUUUGGGAUAACUUCAGGAAACUGGGGCCAAUACCGGAUAGGAGCUCCUGCUGCAUGGUGGGGGUUGGAAAGUUUCGGCGGUUGGGGAUGGACUCGCGGCUUAUCAGCUUGUUGGUGGGGUAGUGGCUUACCAAGGCUUUGACGGGUAGCCGGCCUGAGAGGGUGACCGGCCACAUUGGGACUGAGAUACGGCCCAGACUCCUACGGGAGGCAGCAGUGGGGAAUAUUGCACAAUGGGCGGAAGCCUGAUGCAGCAACGCCGCGUGCGGGAUGACGGCCUUCGGGUUGUAAACCGCUUUCGCCUGUGACGAAGCGUGAGUGACGGUAAUGGGUAAAGAAGCACCGGCUAACUACGUG